Molecule: non-coding RNA, 3566 nt
Organism: Oryctolagus cuniculus (rabbit)
Lineage: Eukaryota; Metazoa; Chordata; Mammalia; Lagomorpha; Leporidae
Source: RefSeq, a predicted model, not a curated record
AGGCAAGCAACGAGGGAGGAGGGACUCAGCUCUCACUUGUGCAGAGGACCCAAACUUAAGCUCCCCUUUAUCCGCACGACCCACAGCCCUCAACUCUACAGCAGCCAGCUUAACAGGCUGAAUUCCUUCAGAGCUGUGCUGCGGGUUCCGUAUUCCAAAGGUCAUAAUGCUUCAGCCAAAAAUGCCACAGAAACGGUGCCUUGUGUUUCCAGGUUACUUCACGGGUCUCACUAGGCGUCCUCUUCUGCUCCCCAGCUUUGGCAUUCUGCUUGGCCACCAGACAACAGCCGUGUGCCCUGUUAGCCAGUGAUCGCCCACUGCAGCUUUCCAUGGCCAGUGCCUGCAGGGAGUGUUGUGGGGAGGAGGACCUUAUCCCAAGAGUCCAGAUGCUGGUGUAUUGGCCCCGUGAUGUUUUGUGUUCACCUGUUCUGGGCGGAGUUCCCUCUCUGCGAAUGCCCUAAUGGUGUGUAAUGAUCAUUGCUGUGUGUUUCCUACUCAUCCAGGCUUCCCUUACCAGCAUCCUUGAUGACUCAUAGUUUACCCAGUCCUGUGCUUGAAUAGCUCUGUACUGCCCAUGGUAGCAGUAACAGUCGGCUCCCAGGUGGACAUUCCAGUAGUUUCCAAUUGUUCACAGAAGCCAUAGAGAUGCCUGAUCAUCAAAUGCCCAGACAGGAACCCAGGAAAACAAAGGAGGUUGUGAGAAGGUGCUGCCCCCGCACACUUCGUGCCUGGAGUCAUGGAUUUCCUGGUGGAGACCACAGGCACAUCCCCACCACGGUAGAAAGCUCCAAGGCACGGUCUGGUGGUCUUCCCUUCAUCGCUGGCUCACUCUGUCCUCUUUCCUGCACCUGGCUCUUAGACACAAACAUAAUCCCUGCAACCUCCCCAGCAGGUGAAGAUGCUGAUGUGUGGCUGACCUGCUUGUUGAGAGGAGAAAGGCACUCAGUGGCCAGAUCCAGGGCUAUUGACACAGUAAGCUACUAUUAUGAUGUGACCGGAUAUAGGCAUAUCACCUGCUUUGUCAUUCAACAUAAGACAUGAAGACAGAGGAAAGGCAGGAAGGAGGUGUGCAGGGUAGCGAUGGGAGACUGAGGGACCACUGCCACCAUGCUCUUUGUGUCCCUGUGUGGGAACAGAUUACUGCUUUUUUUUUUAACUCUUUUUUAUUUGAAGGGUAGAGUCACACACACAAACACACACACACACACACACACACACAAUCUUCCAUCUACUGGUUCACUCCUCAAAUGGCUGUAAUGGCUGGGUGAGGCUGAGCGAGGAUCUAGGGAAUCCAUUUGGCUCUCCCAUGUGGCUGGCAGGGACCUGAGUACUGGAGCCGUCACCUGCUACCUCCCCAGAUGCAUCAGCAGGUAGCUGGAUCAGAAGCAGAGCAGGGGCCAGCACUGUGAUGCAGUGGGCUACGCCUCCAUCUGCGGCACCAGCAAUCCCAUAGGGGUGCCGGUUCAGGUCCAGGCUACUCCUCUUCUGAUCUUUCUCUGCUAUGGCCUGGGAAGGCAGCAGCAGAUGACCCAAGUGCUUGGGCCCCUGCACCAGUGUGGGAGACCUGGAAGAACCUGCUACCUCCUGGCUUCAGAAUGCGGCCAUUUGGGGAGUGAACCAGCAGACGGAAGCUCUUUCUCUCUGUCUCUCCCUCUCUCUAUUUGUAACUCUACCUCUCAAAUAAAUAAAACACAAAAGGAGGAGGAGGAGGAGAAGCAGCAGCAGCAGCCAGGACUUGAACCUGUGCUCUGCUAUGGGAUACUGGCAUCUCAGGUGAUGACUUAACCCACUGCAAAACAACACCAGCCCCGAGACAUCUGCUGCUUGGAGUUCUCAUCAGUCCUUUGGGAUCUUCAUACCCUUUUGAUUUACCUGUCAGCCUGGCUCGUUUAUAGUAAGCAUUCACCUGGAGCUUUCUUUUUUUCUUUUUUGACAGGCAGAGUUAGACAGUGAGAGAGAGACAGAGAGAAAGGUCUUCCUUCCGUUGGUUCACUCCCCUAAUGGCCACCAUGGCCGGUGCUGCACCAAUUCGAAGCCAGGAGCCGGGUAUUUCCUCCUGGUCUCCCAUGCAGCAAGGACCCAAGCACUUGGGCCAUCCUCCACUGCCUUCCUGGGCCACAGCAGAGAGCUGGACUGGAAGAGGAGCAACCGGGACUAGAACCCAGUGCUGUAACCAGGACUAGAACCUGGGGGUGCUGGCACCACAGGUGGAGGAUUAGCCAAGUGAGCCGUGGCGCUGGCCACACUUGGAGCUUUCAAUGUGACAGACACUGUUCUAACUUCUUUGCCCAGUCAGCCUCGUUACCUUACUUCAUAGAUGGGGAACAUGAAGUGCAGAGAGGUUGGCCAACCUUUCCAAGGACACACAGGACAGAGCAAAGCUGGAUUUGGACCUCAUGUUCAAUCGCUCUCUGCCGUGUUGCCUCUGGGCGAGAUUAACAGAGCCCAGGAAGCGAUUUGGCAGCCAUCCCAGCAGAGGAGGGGGGUGAAGGCGUCACACUUCCCCUUCCCGGUAACCUAAUAAAUGGUGCACUCAGUGUACAGCAGUGAGGGCUCUGGAAACUGCUCUCUGCUCCUCUGUCUGCAAAUGCCACAGGUGGCCUUCUCAGCAAGUCUGGAUUGCUGCCAUCGCCGUCUCCUCCCAGACUCUUUGGCCCUCCUGCUCACUGGAAAGACUACAGUGAGGAUACAGCUGUCGGGGAGAGGAGUGAGUUUUCUAGAAGCAAAAUGGCAUGGAACCCCAGAGUUUCUGUGGCCAGGCUGCUGUGACUCCUACCACCAGGGAGGGCGGAGAGAGAACAGGUGGAACAGACCACUUUACACUGGCUACGGAUGUCUCUGCUCAUCAACACAGCUUACAUGGUAGACUGCAAGUGGAAAAUGAGAAUUCGAAAAUUACAGACCAAGAAGGGCAAUUAGUGUAACUAAAGCAAAAAGAUGGGAUUAAAAAAAAUGUAACAUUUUGCUAACUCAGUGCAGGGGAGCUGUUUUACCAGGGAGUAAAAAUAAACUAUUUUGUAUGCAUUGUGGAUGUGUUAUGUCUUUUCUUCUGCCUGUUGUGGCUGUGUGAGGGGAAGGGCUCACGGGGACCAGAGGCACCAAGGGGUGGCCAGCAAUGCAGGACGUGGAGUCAAAGGGUACCAGGUUCAGAUCCUGGCUCCUGUCAGUUGUGCAGCCUCAAGCAGAUUUUUAUAAUGAAUUCAUUGGUUAAGUAAUGAAUUAGAGACACAGAGAACAAGAGCUCUCGUCUGCUGGCUCAGAAUUUAAUAUCUAAAAAGGAACUCAAACGACUCAAUAGCCAGAAGAGGAGCUGGCUAAGCCUCCACCUGCGGUGCUAACAUCCCUUAUGGGUGCUAGUUCAUUUCUAGGCUGUUCCUCUUCCUGUCCAGCUCUCUGCCAAUGCACCUGGGAAAGCAGUGGAAGAUGGCCCAAGUGCUUGGGCCCCUGCACUCUUAUCUGAUGUAUGGUGUGCAAGUAUUUUCUCUCACUACCUGGGUUGGCUUCCUUCUGUUAAUCAUUUCCUUUGUGGUGCGUAAACUUUUUAGGUUAGUGCAGCCUCAUUUGUC